RNAcentral lists this ribosomal RNA (722 nucleotides) under uncultured bacterium. Its description in RNAcentral is "bacterial SSU rRNA". It matches the Rfam family "Bacterial small subunit ribosomal RNA", at positions 21 to 743 of the family's 1533-position model. The record is from RNAcentral.
AUUUUCGGGUGACCGCUGGCGGCGUUGCCUAACACAUGAAAGUCGAGCGAGAAUUUGUGGAAUGCGGGCUUCUGCCCAAAUGAAAUGAAGGAAAGCGGCGGACGGGUGAGUAACGCGUGGGUAACCUGCCCCAUACAAUGGGAUAGCCACUGGAAACGGUGAUUAAUACCAUAUGAAGCUUCAUGGCCGCAUGGCUGAGAAGUUAAAGAUUUAUCGGUAUGGGAUGGACCCGCGUCUGAUUAGCUAGUUGGUGAGGUAACGGCUCACCAAGGCGACGAUCAGUAGCCGACCUGAGAGGGUGAUCGGCCACACUGGAACUGAGACACGGUCCAGACUCCUACGGGAGGCAGCAGUGGGGAAUAUUGCACAAUGGGCGCAAGCCUGAUGCAGCAACGCCGUGUGAGUGAAGAAGGCCUUCGGGUCGUAAAACUCUGUCCUAUGGGAAGAAAAAAAUGACGGUACCAUAGGAGGAAGCCCCGGCUAACUACGUGCCAGCAGCCGCGGUAAUACGUAGGGGGCAAGCGUUAUCCGGAAUCACUGGGCGUAAAGGGUGCGUAGGCGGCUAAGCAAGCCAGGGGUGAAAGGCAUUGGCUCAACCAAUGUAAGCCUUUUGGAACUGUUUGGCUUGAGUGCAGGAGAGGUAAGUGGAAUUCCUAGUGUAGAGGUGAAAUUCGUAGAUAUUAGGAGGAACACCAUGGCGAANGCGACUUUACUGGAACUGU